GCUCAGGACGAACGCUGGCGGCGUGCUUAACACAUGCAAGUCGAACGGAAAGGCCCUGCUUUUGUGGGGUGCUCGAGUGGCGAACGGGUGAGUAACACGUGAGUAACCUGCCCUUGACUUUGGGAUAACUUCAGGAAACUGGGGCUAAUACCGGAUAGGAGCUCCUGCUGCAUGGUGGGGGUUGGAAAGUUUCGGCGGUUGGGGAUGGACUCGCGGCUUAUCAGCUUGUUGGUGGGGUAGUGGCUUACCAAGGCUUUGACGGGUAGCCGGCCUGAGAGGGUGACCGGCCACAUUGGGACUGAGAUACGGCCCAGACUCCUACGGGAGGCAGCAGUGGGGAAUAUUGCACAAUGGGCGGAAGCCUGAUGCAGCAACGCCGCGUGCGGGAUGACGGCCUUCGGGUUGUAAACCGCUUUCGCCUGUGACGAAGCGUGAGUGACGGUAAUGGGUAAAGAAGCACCGGCUAACUACGUGCCAGCAGCCGCGGUGAUACGUAGGGUGCGAGCGUUGUCCGGAUUUAUUGGGCGUAAAGGGCUCGUAGGUGGUUGAUCGCGUCGGAAGUGUAAUCUUGGGGCUUAACCCUGAGCGUGCUUUCGAUACGGGUUGACUUGAGGAAGGUAGGGGAGAAUGGAAUUCCUGGUGGAGCGGUGGAAUGCGCAGAUAUCAGGAGGAACACCAGUGGCGAAGGCGGUUCUCUGGGCCUUUCCUGACGCUGAGGAGCGAAAGCGUGGGGAGCGAACAGGCUUAGAUACCCUGGUAGUCCACGCUGUAAACGGUGGGUACUAGGUGUGGGGUCCAUUCCACGGGUUCCGUGCCGUAGCUAACGCUUUAAGUACCCCGCCUGGGGAGUACGGCCGCAAGGCUAAAACUCAAAGGAAUUGACGGGGCCCCGCACAAGCGGCGGAGCAUGCGGAUUAAUUCGAUGCAACGCGUAGAACCUUACCUGGGUUUGACAUGGAUCGGGAGCGCUCAGAGAUGGGUGUGCCUCUUUUGGGGUCGGUUCACAGGUGGUGCAUGGCUGUCGUCAGCUCGUGUUGUGAGAUGUUGGGUUAAGUCCCGCAACGAGCGCAACCCUUGUUCACUGUUGCCAGCACGUUAUGAUGGGGACUCAGUGGAGACCGCCGGGGUCAACUCGGAGGAAGGUGGGGAUGACGUCAAGUCAUCAUGCCCCUUAUGUCCAGGGCUUCACGCAUGCUACAAUGGCUGGUACAGAGAGUGGCGAGCCUGUGAGGGUGAGCGAAUCUCGGAAAGCCGGUCUCAGUUCGGAUUGGGGUCUGCAACUCGACCUCAUGAAGUCGGAGUCGCUAGUAAUCGCAGAUCAGCAACGCUGCGGUGAAUACGUUCCCGGGGCUUGUACACACCGCCCGUCAAGUCAUGAAAGUUGGUAACACCCGAAGCCGGUGGCCUAACCGUUGUGGGGGAGCCGUCGAAGGUGGGACUGGU
RNAcentral lists this ribosomal RNA (1443 nucleotides) under uncultured organism. RNAcentral describes it as "SSU rRNA". It matches the Rfam family "Bacterial small subunit ribosomal RNA". The record is from RNAcentral.